RNAcentral lists this long non-coding RNA (513 nucleotides) under Brassica rapa (field mustard). RNAcentral describes it as "long non-coding RNA (BRAP_LNC005554)". Lineage: Eukaryota; Viridiplantae; Streptophyta; Magnoliopsida; Brassicales; Brassicaceae. The record is from RNAcentral.
UCUGUUUUUAACUUCUCCACUGUUUUAUAUGUUUUCAUUUUCUCUUUUAUUCUCAAUCUUUUCAUCUCACAUCAUUCUUUUGGGUUUUGAGUGUAGUAUCAAGAACCGAUAUAGCUUUAUAAUUUAUUUUUUUGUUCAGAUUUUUAUUUCUCUGCUUCUCGGACUAAUACUCAUAUUCUUUUUGUAUGAUUCAGUUUAAAGUUUUUUUUAUGAAAUUUUUUCAAAGGAAGAUGAAGGAAAAGGAAGAUGAAGGAGAAACGAGACUGCGUAAAUAUAUUUAAAUAUCAGACUAUAGAAACACUGAAGGUAAAUAUGUUAGCACUUUUAUUUCAGUUUAACAGAGAAAGUUUAAUGUUAUUGAGUUUUUUUUCUCAGAUUUUUUCUGGUUUUAUUAUGGAUAUGACAAAGAAAGACUAGCUAAUUUUGUAAAAGAAAAAGAAUGUGAAGAUGACAUAUUGGUGCUGCUUGUGACGAGAUUAAGCUUAUUAUUGAUGUUAGUUAUUAUAAUUUUUU